UAAGAAUUUAAAAGUCGAACAGACUUAUUAAUAAGAACUCUACCUCUUAUAAUUUUCUUAAUUCAACAUCGAGGUCGCAAAAUAUAAUAUAGAUACGAACUCCCCAUUAAAAUUACGCUGUUAUCCCUAAGGUAACUUAAUCUUUUUAUCCUAAACGUUAAUUAUAGGGAUCUAAAGUCACACAAAUUAGUGAAUUUCUAAACUAAAGUUAAAUUAUUUAAUUGCCACCCCAGCAAAAUAUAAAUAAAUAUUAUUAAAUAUACAAAGAAUAAAAUCUAAUAAAAUAAACCUAUAUAAAGUUCUAUAGGGUCUUAUCGUCCCAAUAAUCUAUUAAAGCAUUUUAACUUUAAAUUUAAAUUUUAAUAUUAAAAAAAAUAAAAUACAUUUCUCAUACAUCCUUUCAUACAAGCUUUCAAUUAAAAAACUAUUUACUAUGCUACCUUUGCACAGUCAAAAUACUGCAGCCAUUUAGGAACUUUCCCAUAGGGCAGAAGAUACUUUUUAUAAAAACA
Molecule: ribosomal RNA, 512 nt
Filed under: Nesophrosyne sp. 236 GMB-2012
Lineage: Eukaryota; Metazoa; Arthropoda; Insecta; Hemiptera; Cicadellidae
Description: partial 16S ribosomal RNA
Source: RNAcentral